AGAGUUUGAUCCUGGCUCAGAUUGAACGCUAGCGGGAUGCUUUACACAUGCAAGUCGGACGGCAGCACGGACUUCGGUCUGGUGGCGAGUGGCGAACGGGUGAGUAAUGUAUCGGAACGUGCCUAGUAGCGGGGGAUAACUACGCGAAAGCGUGGCUAAUACCGCAUACGCCCUGAGGGGGAAAGGGGGGGAUCGCAAGACCUCCCACUAUUAGAGCGGCCGAUAUCGGGUUAGCUAGUUGGUGAGGUAACGGCUCACCAAGGCUGUGAUCCGUAGCUGGUUUGAGAGGACGACCAGCCACACUGGGACUGAGACACGGCCCAGACUCCUACGGGAGGCAGCAGUGGGGAAUUUUGGACAAUGGGGGCAACCCUGAUCCAGCCAUCCCGCGUGUGCGAUGAAGGCCUUCGGGUUGUAAAGCACUUUUGGCAGGGAAGAAACGGCCACGGGGAA
RNAcentral lists this ribosomal RNA (453 nucleotides) under uncultured bacterium. RNAcentral describes it as "bacterial SSU rRNA". It matches the Rfam family "Bacterial small subunit ribosomal RNA", at positions 8 to 463 of the family's 1533-position model. The record is from RNAcentral.